RNAcentral lists this long non-coding RNA (1457 nucleotides) under Cyanistes caeruleus (blue tit). RNAcentral describes it as "lncRNA (ENSCCEG00000004756.1)". The record is from RNAcentral. Lineage: Eukaryota; Metazoa; Chordata; Aves; Passeriformes; Paridae.
GAAUUUUACUCUUCUAUUGUAUACAAAUAAUUAAUAUUUUGCUAAAAUAUUUUUAAUUAGUAUUUUCAAUUUUAUAUUGUAAUCUGGUGUUCAUUAUAAUAUUAAUUUUUUGUUUUAGUGGCUGUUGUUGUUUCCUGUUUAAAUUAUUUCUUUGAGGAAAAAAUGGAAUGCUGCCAAUAGGAGAAGAGAACUUAGCUUUUAUAAAAUUUACUGAAUUUUAUUAUUUAUUGCUGACAUUUUAUGAUUUUUUUUCACUAAAGAUAGUUUAGGAUUUUAAUUGAAGUGUAUCUUUUGUUAGGUUAGGGUUGGGUGUCCUUACUACAUGUAGUUUCUCAUUUCUGUGCCAGUAGUUCUGACAUUUUCUAGUUGUCAUGUUUUCUUGUGGAAAUAUGACAUAAUGCAUGUAAUGGCUGCAUAGUUCUGUUUUAUCUUGGUCAGACAAAGAAGCAAAAUAUGAAUUGGCAGAAAUACUUUGAUGAUUAUGCAGUGAUAAAGUUUUCUUUUUAUUAGCAGAUCAUGCAGCAAAAGAGCCAGUGGAGGAUACGGAUCCAAGUACUCUUUCUUUAACAAUGACUGAAAAAUAUCCUGUCCAAGACACAGGAGUUCCUAAAGGUAACUAUUGUGAAUUCUCUAUUCAGAUAUCAUUGGUCUCUUUUGCUAUCUGUAAUAAAACCAGUGGUGUUACCCGACAGAUUGAAAUAUUCCUACUUUUUGCUAGAUGCUUAUAUUUAAAUGUAAUGCCCUCUUUAUUUUUAAGGUCAAUUUCAUAUGUGUAUAUCUAACUUUCGAAAUUUCCUUCCCAGGUUUAAUUUUGGUCUAAAAGUCACUCUAAAACUAUCAUCAGAGGACCUGGUUUCUCAAUCUGAAAGGAAAAUACAGUGGUGCCAUUGAUAGACAGGGUUCAGACAAGAGAUGGUAGGGACAUCAUAAUGUUAGAUGAUGACUUUGAAGGGACCACCAGUGCCUUCAUGUUGUUAGAAAUACAAUCAAGGAAUACCUUUUCAGGUCUUUUGUCUCUGACAGCAUUCCCAGCCUCAUAACCAGACAACUCUUCGUGCCAUCUUGUACCUUCAGCAGGUGUUAAUGCCAUCUACUGGAGAACCUACUGUUAGGUCCUCUCUACACAAGUUCCUGCCUCUCCUUGCUGAAAAUUGAGUGAGGGAGUGCAGGUUCUGAAGAAAAAUACAUGGAUUACACAGUGUGACUAUCCUCCUUAUGUUUCCUUGAUGUGUGGGGUGGGUUUUUUGUUGUCAUCCCAGGCUUCGCCAUUGACUUUUGUCCAGGGAAUGCACUGGCAGGGGCUUGGUUGAGGAGCACUCUGCAGGUAGUGUGUCCUCCAUCCAGUGUUGUACUGCAGGUCUGCAGUGGGACAGACACAGGAAAACAGGCUUGUCACAAUGGAAACUUCUACUGAGGAGUAGGAGCAGUAUACCACUGGGGAUAAAGAAAAGUUGGAG